CGCCACACUUCACCAAAAAAAAAAUGGAAAUAUGAUUUUGCUGGCUAAAUAUAUAUUUUUAUCUGUGAUGUUGAGCACUUUGUUCCCCUUCUCAAACGGAACCGAGUCUUGUUCAAGCAAAGGAGGAUCCUGUAACCCGAAACAAAAAUGUGCAGAUAUGGAAAAGUUUCCACAACUAACAUUUGAGUCGCCCAAUUGUUUAAACUACGAGCUGUGCUGUAUUUUUGUACAAUAAAUUCGACUAAAGUUAGCCCUCUAUUGUAUAAACUAGUUUUGGGCCAAAAAGUCGCAACCCUUA
RNAcentral lists this small RNA (298 nucleotides) under Drosophila pseudoobscura pseudoobscura. RNAcentral describes it as "GA32146". The record is from RNAcentral. Lineage: Eukaryota; Metazoa; Arthropoda; Insecta; Diptera; Drosophilidae.